RNAcentral lists this ribosomal RNA (788 nucleotides) under Octospora cf. conidiophora B ZS-2019. RNAcentral's name for it is "partial 28S ribosomal RNA". It matches the Rfam family "Eukaryotic large subunit ribosomal RNA", at positions 87 to 871 of the family's 3401-position model. Lineage: Eukaryota; Fungi; Ascomycota; Pezizomycetes; Pezizales; Pyronemataceae. The record is from RNAcentral.
CUGCGAGUGAAGCGGCAAAAGCUCAAAUUUGAAAUCUGACCGUCUUCGUUUUGUGGGACAGUCCGAGUUGUAAUUUGGAGGAGCGUUUUCAGGAAUCCUUGGCACCGUCCCAAGUUCCGUGGAACCGGACGUCACAGAGGGUGAGAAUCCCGUGCAUGGGCGGUAGCUAGUUUUCCGUGUGAUGCGCUUCCGACGAGUCGAGUUGUUUGGGAAUGCAGCUCAAAAUGGGUGGUAAAUUUCAUCUAAAGCUAAAUACUGGCGAGAGACCGAUAGCGCACAAGUAGAGUGAUCGAAAGAUGAAAAGCACUUUGAAAAGAGAGUUAAAAAGUACGUGAAAUUGUUGAAAGGGAAGCGCUUGAGAUCAAACUCGGUCUUUGGUGAAGCCGCGAGCCUUUGUUGCUUGUGACCUCUUGCCAUGGACUGGGCCAGCAUCGGUUCCGACGGUGGGAAAAAUGGCUUUGGAAUGUGGCUCGUUCUUAGAAGGAGUGUUUAUAGACUCAGCCAAAUACCGCCAGACGGGACCGAGGACCGCGCUUCGGCUAGGAUGCUGGCGUAAUGGUCUUAAGCGACCCGUCUUGAAACACGGACCAAGGAGUCUAACAUCUAUGCGAGUGUUCGGGUGGAAAACCCUUGCGCGUAAUGAAAGUGAACGGAGGUGGGAACCGAAAGGGGCACCAUCGACCGAUCCUGAUGUCAUCGGAAGGAUUUGAGUAUGAGCAUAGCUGUUGGGACCCGAAAGAUGGUGAACUAUGCCUGAAUAGGGUGAAGCCAGAGGAAACUCUGGUGGA